AUGGACACACGCAGAGUCGAGUACAACAUCAUCUCGGGGACGUCUGCGGCGUGCCCGCACGUCGCCGGUGUCACGGACUCUGAUCAUGAGAUACAUUCGGCACAGAUGGCGAACGCCAGCCCGCUCGACAAGAUCACAAGAGCGGCGGGGGCAUCCUCGACAUCAGCACUGUCGGGGGCAGGACGCGGCUGGUGGCCGGGGCCGGGCCGGGUUCGUCGUCCCGCGGCUGACUUGAGUUGCUUCCGGCAUGGACGCGGCUGGUGGCCGGGGCCCGGUUCGUCCUCUCCCGUGACGCUAAGGCCCUGA
This 306-nucleotide ribosomal RNA is filed under the name Triticum aestivum (bread wheat). RNAcentral's name for it is "partial small subunit ribosomal RNA". The record is from RNAcentral. Lineage: Eukaryota; Viridiplantae; Streptophyta; Magnoliopsida; Poales; Poaceae.